GGCUUCAUAGCUUGGCUGGUAGAGCGAGCGCUGUACAGCAGUGUAAGCGGCGUCCAUGUGUGGGUUCGAAUCCCACCGAGGCUG
RNAcentral lists this transfer RNA (84 nucleotides) under Echinostoma caproni. It matches the Rfam family "tRNA". Rfam says of the family: Transfer RNA (tRNA) molecules are approximately 80 nucleotides in length. Their secondary structure includes four short double-helical elements and three loops (D, anti-codon, and T loops). Lineage: Eukaryota; Metazoa; Platyhelminthes; Trematoda; Plagiorchiida; Echinostomatidae. The record is from Rfam by way of RNAcentral.